CGGUGUGGUACCAAUAUGAAAAAAAUAGAACGCAGACAGCGGAAUCCACCAGAUGGCAAGAUAUCGGGCAAUACAAUUUGGGAAUUCAAAAUCCUGAUUUCUGUGGAGUGCUAAAGACGACGGCCUUAAAAGCUUCCUGCCAUAAUGAUACGCUUCUUGCCGGCGCAAUUCCCCACCUCCGACCACACUGGAAUACCCUGGCUGGCGCGAUGGGUUCGGACACGCUCGGUGUAAGUGUGCCACCUCAAGGCUGGCCCAUCGGCAACUCCACACAAGCUCCAGGAAAGCAGACCCAGCUCUCCACCACUCCGUCGGCCACAGCAAGUCCCAAAAUGCAAGGCGGUUGCAAACUCUGACCGGCAAGAAAGGGGUGACCACAGUUUGCAGGGACGGGCACUCAGCUUCUGGCCGUCGAUUUCCCUACCGAAACGGAUAAAAUAAAUACGCGGGGCUCAGCCAUUCCGA
This is a long non-coding RNA of Ornithorhynchus anatinus (platypus), 465 nucleotides long. RefSeq lists it as uncharacterized. The transcript is spliced from 2 exons. The record is from RefSeq and is a predicted model, not a curated record. Lineage: Eukaryota; Metazoa; Chordata; Mammalia; Monotremata; Ornithorhynchidae.